Molecule: long non-coding RNA, 252 nt
Filed under: Trifolium pratense (red clover)
Lineage: Eukaryota; Viridiplantae; Streptophyta; Magnoliopsida; Fabales; Fabaceae
Description: long non-coding RNA (TPRA_LNC014300)
Source: RNAcentral
GAAUGUAUUCUCAUGAUGAGAACUUGUUUUAGAACAUGCUAUGUUUUAUACAUGCUUGAGUAGAUGUUGUAAAUAUGCGGGCAAAUGAAAUGUAAUGCAUGUACUUGACUCGAUGUCUUGUGUACAUGGAUGUUUUGUUGUCUUACAUAUAUUUUAGUUAUAAAUAUAUGUAUUGACAUGUUGUUGUGUUUGCGUAUGCUAGUUGGUAUGAAGAUUGUUACACUAGUAUAUGUGGGGAAUAGGAUACUUAUG